AUACGGAGGGUGCAAGCGUUAAUCGGAAUUACUGGGCGUAAAGCGCGCGUAGGCGGUUUGGUAAGUCGGAUGUGAAAGCCCCGGGCUCAACCUGGGAAUUGCAUUCGAUACUGCCAGACUAGAGUAUGGUAGAGGAAAGUGGAAUUCCGGGUGUAGCGGUGAAAUGCGUAGAUAUCCGGAGGAACACCAGUGGCGAAGGCGACUUCCUGGACCAAUACUGACGCUGAGGUGCGAAAGCGUGGGGAGCAAACAGGAUUAGAAACCCCAGUAGUCC
Molecule: ribosomal RNA, 274 nt
Filed under: uncultured bacterium
Lineage: Bacteria
Description: partial 16S ribosomal RNA
Rfam family: Bacterial small subunit ribosomal RNA
Source: RNAcentral